RNAcentral lists this ribosomal RNA (492 nucleotides) under uncultured bacterium. RNAcentral describes it as "partial 16S ribosomal RNA". It matches the Rfam family "Bacterial small subunit ribosomal RNA", at positions 29 to 507 of the family's 1533-position model. The record is from RNAcentral.
AGUGAACGCUGGCGGUAGGCCUAACACAUGCAAGUCGAACGGCAGCACAGUAAGAGCUUGCUCUUACGGGUGGCGAGUGGCGGACGGGUGAGGAAUACAUCGGAAUCUACUUUUUCGUGGGGGAUAACGUAGGGAAACUUACGCUAAUACCGCAUACGACCUACGGGUGAAAGCAGGGGAUCUUCGGACCUUGCGCGAUUGAAUGAGCCGAUGUCGGAUUAGCUAGUUGGCGGGGUAAAGGCCCACCAAGGCGACGAUCCGUAGCUGGUCUGAGAGGAUGAGCAGCCACACUGGAACUGAGACACGGUCCAGACUCCUACGGGAGGCAGCAGUGGGGAAUAUUGGACAAUGGGCGCAAGCCUGAUCCAGCCAUACCGCGUGGGUGAAGAAGGCCUUCGGGUUGUAAAGCCCUUUUGUGGGGAAAGAAAAGCAGCAGGUUAAUACCCCGCUGUUCUGACGGUACCCAAAGAAUAAGCACCGGCUAACUUCGUG